AAUGUGCCUUCGGGANCCGUGAGACAGGUGCUGCAUGGCUGUCGUCAGCUCGUGUUGUGAAAUGUUGGGUUAAGUCCCGCAACGAGCGCAACCCUUAUCCUUUGUUGCCAGCGGUCCGGCCGGGAACUCAAAGGAGACUGUUAGUGAUAAACUGGAGGAAGGUGGGGAUGACGUCAAGUCAUCAUGGCCCUUACGACCAGGGCUACACACGUGCUACAAUGGCGCAUACAAAGAGAAGCGACCUCGCGAGAGCAAGCGGACCUCAUAAAGUGCGUCGUAGUCCGGAUUGGAGUCUGCAACUCGACUCCAUGAAGUCGGAAUCGCUAGUAAUCGUGGAUCAGAAUGCCACGGUGAAUACGUUCCCGGGCCUUGUACACACCGCCCGUCACACCAUGGGAGUGGGUUGCAAAAGAAGUAGGUAGCUUAACCUUCGGG
RNAcentral lists this ribosomal RNA (435 nucleotides) under uncultured Gammaproteobacteria bacterium. RNAcentral's name for it is "bacterial SSU rRNA". It matches the Rfam family "Bacterial small subunit ribosomal RNA", at positions 1011 to 1446 of the family's 1533-position model. Lineage: Bacteria; Pseudomonadati; Pseudomonadota; Gammaproteobacteria. The record is from RNAcentral.